RNAcentral lists this ribosomal RNA (253 nucleotides) under uncultured bacterium. RNAcentral describes it as "partial 16S ribosomal RNA". It matches the Rfam family "Bacterial small subunit ribosomal RNA", at positions 524 to 776 of the family's 1533-position model. The record is from RNAcentral.
UACGUAGGUGGCAAGCGUUAUCCGGAUUUACUGGGUGUAAAGGGCGUGUAGGCGGGAAAGCAAGCCAGGGGUGAAAGCCCGGGGCCCAACCCCGGGACUGCUCUUGGAACUGCGUGGCUGGAGUGCAGGAGGGGCAGGCGGAAUUCCUAGUGUAGCGGUGAAAUGCGUAGAUAUUAGGAGGAACACCAGUGGCGAAGGCGGCUUACUGGACUGUAAAUGACGCUGAGGCUCGAAAGCGUGGGGAGCAAACAGG